GAAAUGCGAUACGUAGUGUGAAUUGCAGAAUUCAGUGAAUCAUCGAAUCUUUGAACGCACAUUGCGCCCUUUGGUAUUCCAAAGGGCAUGCCUGUUCGAGCGUCAUUUGUACCCUCAAGCUUUGCUUGGUGUUGGGCGUCUUGUCUCUAGCUUUGCUGGAGACUCGCCUUAAAGUAAUUGGCAGCCGGCCUACUGGUUUCGGAGCGCAGCACAAGUCGCACUCUCUAUCAGCAAAGGUCUAGCAUCCAUUAAGCCUUUUUUCAACUUUUGACCUCGGAUCAGGUAGGGAUACCCGCUGAACUUAAGC
Molecule: unclassified non-coding RNA, 307 nt
Filed under: plant metagenome
Description: partial contains 5.8S ribosomal RNA, internal transcribed spacer 2, and large subunit ribosomal RNA
Rfam family: 5.8S ribosomal RNA (bases 1-105)
Source: RNAcentral